Molecule: non-coding RNA, 31 nt
Filed under: Mus musculus (house mouse)
Lineage: Eukaryota; Metazoa; Chordata; Mammalia; Rodentia; Muridae
Source: RNAcentral
UAUAAAGCGUCACUACCUUCUCACUGAGUGU